CCGUCUUGAAACACGGACCAAGGAGUCUAGCAUGUGCGCGAGUCAUUGGGAUUUUUUUACACUAAACCCAGAGGCGCAAUGAAAGUGAAAGGCGCGGCCUCGGUCGCGCCGGAGGGAAGAUGCGCGGACCGUUUCCGCGGUCCCGCCGCAUUCCCGAGGCGUUUCGAAAAAGCCACCGUUGUUAUUAUCGAGACGCACUGAGAGCGUACACGCUGGGACCCGAAAGAUGGUGAACUAUGCCUGGUCAGGUCGAAGUCAGGGGAAACCCUGAUGGAGGACCGAAGCGAUUCUGACGUGCAAAUCGAUCGUCGGAACUGGGUAUAGGGGCGAAAGACUAAUCGAACUAUCUAAUA
This 353-nucleotide ribosomal RNA is filed under the name Rhyacophila brunnea. Its description in RNAcentral is "eukaryotic LSU rRNA". It matches the Rfam family "Eukaryotic large subunit ribosomal RNA", at positions 649 to 949 of the family's 3401-position model. The record is from RNAcentral. Lineage: Eukaryota; Metazoa; Arthropoda; Insecta; Trichoptera; Rhyacophilidae.